This 387-nucleotide ribosomal RNA is filed under the name Cynopterus brachyotis (lesser short-nosed fruit bat). RNAcentral describes it as "partial 12S ribosomal RNA". It matches the Rfam family "Bacterial small subunit ribosomal RNA", at positions 794 to 1382 of the family's 1533-position model. The record is from RNAcentral. Lineage: Eukaryota; Metazoa; Chordata; Mammalia; Chiroptera; Pteropodidae.
GCUUAGCCCUAAACCAAAGCAGCAAAUCAACAAUACUGCUCGCCAGAGAACUACUAGCAACAGCUUAAAACUCAAAGGACUUGGCGGUGCUUUAUAUCCCUCUAGAGGAGCCUGUUCUGUAAUCGAUAAACCCCGAUAAACCUCACCAGUCCUUGCUAAUACAGCCUAUAUACCGCCAUCUUCAGCAAACCCUAAAAAGGAGUCAUAGUAAGCAAAACCAUGAAACAUAAAAACGUUAGGUCAAGGUGUAGCCUAUGGACUGGGAAGAAAUGGGCUACAUUUUCUAAUAUAGAACACAAACGAAAAUUUUCGUGAAAUCGAAAAUAGAAGGAGGAUUUAGUAGUAAAUUAAGAAUAGAGAGCUUAAUUGAAUAAGGCCAUGAAGCAC